GCCUUUAGCUCAGUGGUUAGAGCGUUUGUCUCCCAUGCCGGUGUGUGUGUGGCAAGGUGGUGGGUUCAAGGCCCAUGAGUGGCG
This 84-nucleotide transfer RNA is filed under the name Alosa alosa (allis shad). RNAcentral's name for it is "tRNA-OTHER". The record is from RNAcentral. Lineage: Eukaryota; Metazoa; Chordata; Actinopteri; Clupeiformes; Clupeidae.